CGCUCUGAUGGGGUCAAGGUCCAGAGAGCUGAGUAGUUGGCAAGCGGACCACCAGCAGCAGACAACGUCUUCACUCGGCUCUCCCCGAAGCUGUACAGCCCCGCUGAAAGGAUGAAGGUCUCCGAGGCUGCCCUGUCUCUCCUCAUCCUCAUCCUUAUCAUUACUUCUGCUUCUUGCAGCCAGCCAAAAGUUCCUGAGUGGGUGAACACCCCAUCCACCUGCUGCCUGAAGUUUUAUGAGAAAGUGUUGCCAAGGAGACUGGUGGUGGGAUACAGAAAGGCCCUCAACUGUAACCUGCCAGCAAUCAUCUUCAUCACCAAAAGGAACCGAGAAGUCUGCACCAACCCCAGUGACGACUGGGUCCAAGAGUACAUCAAGAAUCCCAACCUACCUUUGCUGCCCUCCAGGAACUUGGCCACGGUUAAAAUUAUUACAGCAAAGAAUGACUAAGCCCAGCUCCUCAACUCCCAGUGAUGACCAGGCUUUAGUGGAAGCCCUUGUUUACGGAAGAGAGAGGGUGGCAUGGGUACAGAGAGUGCCUGACUGGGAAAGAAAAAAAAAAAAAAAAAGAGUGAGCGAGAAGAAGAAGAAGAGACACAAAUCUCUACCUCCCAUGUUACGCUUUGCAGGACAGGGAAAGAAAGGGUAUGAGACUCGCCUAGGGGUAAACUCUUAGUCCAAAACCCAAGCAUGCAAUAAAUACAACUUCCUUAUUUGGCA
Molecule: RNA transcript, 720 nt
Organism: Macaca mulatta (Rhesus monkey)
Lineage: Eukaryota; Metazoa; Chordata; Mammalia; Primates; Cercopithecidae
Gene: CCL16
Gene name: C-C motif chemokine ligand 16
Source: RefSeq, a predicted model, not a curated record